GUACACUCCUGCGGGAGGCAGCAGUGGGGAAUUUUACGCAAUGGGGGAAACCCUGACGUAGCGACACCGCGUGAGCGAAGAAGCCCUUUGGGGUGUAAAGCUCUGUCAGCUGGAACGAAAACAAUGACGGUACCAGCAGAGGAAGCAUCGGCUAACUACGUGCCAGCAGCCGCGGUAAGACGUAGGAUGCGAGCGUUGUCCGGAUUUAUUGGGCGUAAAGAGUUCGUAGGUGGUUUGUUAAGUUUGGUGUUAAAGAUCGGGGCUCAACCCUGGGACUGCACUGAAUACUGGCAGACUCGAGUGUGGUAGAGGCUAGUGGAAUUCCCAGUGUAGCGGUGAAAUGCGUAGAUAUUGGGAAGAACACCGGUGGCGUAGGCGACUAGCUGGGCCAUAACUGACGCUGAGGAACGAAAGCCAGGGGAGCGAAUGGGAUUAGAAACCCGAGUAGUCCCAU
Molecule: ribosomal RNA, 454 nt
Filed under: uncultured organism
Description: partial 16S ribosomal RNA
Rfam family: Bacterial small subunit ribosomal RNA
Source: RNAcentral